AGUACAUUUUACAGGACAAUCACCAACCACAAACCUUGAAGCAAACACAUAAGCAGGCAAAAUACCAUAUAUUGCGCUUAUCAGUUAUCAUUAAGAUUGGGAGACCCGACCCGAAUUUGUGUCUGAGACGGUCCUUUGCAAAUCUUCCCCACCUGGAAUCAGCGUACCUGGAUACCCCGGAACCAUACCAGGAGUUGCAUUUCUAACCCCAUAAUAAACCUGUUGAUUCACCCCGUCAGGAACUACUCUUCCACCCUCAUAAGGAUCCAGUGCAGUCAUGGGCCUGAUAGCAGCUCCACCAUAUACUUGACCCAUACCCGGAAGUCCUUGUUGAUAACCCACCGGUAUUGGACCUGUUGACACUGGGUAUUGUUGAACGAAUGGAGGCCGGAUUUGAACGGGCUGAACUGGGACAUUACCCGGUGGAACUGGACCCGGAACAUAAUAAACUGGUAUUGGUUGUACGUGAUGACCCGGAUAAUGAGAAUCCGGAAUAUAAUGCAUAACGGGAUUACUCGGGUACCCAGUUGGAUGGGUCAUUACUGGUUCAAUUGUCUCAGAAGAACUAUCCACUGUAUUCUGCUUUGGUUGUAUGAUUGGAUCCGUGUUUUCGGGUUUGGUCUUAACGGGUGGAAGAUCAGGAAUUGAAGGCACAAUUGGGACAGCUGAAGAAGUCGAGCAAUACGGCGAAGAAACAACCGGAGCCGGAGAACCUGGAUCCGAUGCCGAAACGUUGUCAUGCAAAACGAGUCGACUCUUCGCCUUGUUCUCACGAGGCUGUGGAUCGUCCGAAUUAUCCAACCCGAAUAGAUAAUCGGGCACUUCAGACACAAUGGAGGAAGCCUCGGAUCGUUCUCGCUGGAGACUGGACCCAGAAUUAAGAGCAUCAAAGAACCAGUGCUCCCGAUUUGUAGAGCCAUCAAGAAGCGAGCUGAUGCUACUAGCUCUCGAAUCCUCCCCUUUAGAGAAGAGAAACAGCCGGAGCCGUGCCGAGCGAGGAUUCAGAUUCAAUAAAACCCGAUCAUAUUCUUCCAUCAUAUUAUCUAUAUCCUCGUCGGUUGUAACAGAUAUCAAAGCAUCGAG
This 1083-nucleotide unclassified non-coding RNA is filed under the name Hevea brasiliensis (rubber tree). Lineage: Eukaryota; Viridiplantae; Streptophyta; Magnoliopsida; Malpighiales; Euphorbiaceae. The record is from RNAcentral.